This 505-nucleotide ribosomal RNA is filed under the name uncultured bacterium. RNAcentral's name for it is "partial 16S ribosomal RNA". It matches the Rfam family "Bacterial small subunit ribosomal RNA", at positions 28 to 507 of the family's 1533-position model. The record is from RNAcentral.
GACGAACGCUGGCGGCGUGCCUAAUACAUGCAAGUAGAACGCACAGUUUAUACCGUAGCUUGCUACACCAUAAACUGUGAGUUGCGAACGGAUGAGUAACGCGUAGGUAACCUGCCUGGUAGCGGGGGAUAACUAUUGGAAACGAUAGCUAAUACCGCAUAAUAUUGAUUAUUGCAUGAUAAUUGAUUGAAAGAUGCUAUUGCAUCACUACCAGAUGGACCUGCGUUGUAUUAGCUAGUAGGUGAGGUAACGGCUCACCUAGGCGACGAUACAUAGCCGACCUGAGAGGGUGAUCGGCCACACUGGGACUGAGACACGGCCCAGACUCCUACGGGAGGCAGCAGUAGGGAAUCUUCGGCAAUGGACGAAAGGCUGACCGAGCAACGCCGCGUGAGUGAAGAAGGGUUUCGGAUCGUAAAGCUCUGUUGUAAGAGAAGAACGGGUGUGAGAGUGGAAAGUUCACACUGUGACGGUAUCUUACCAGAAAGGGACGGCUAACUACGUG